ACCUUCAUCAAAGGCAUGUUUGCUAGUUUUAAAUGGCAAAUGUGUAAGAACUGAAGGCAGAGAAAGGUUUUUUCUGAUCACAUGAAGGGUUGAUACCAUUCAACUUUUUCAUAUUCAGAAAUAACUAC
RNAcentral lists this small nucleolar RNA (128 nucleotides) under Mytilus galloprovincialis (Mediterranean mussel). The record is from RNAcentral. Lineage: Eukaryota; Metazoa; Mollusca; Bivalvia; Mytilida; Mytilidae.